This is a long non-coding RNA of Aedes albopictus (Asian tiger mosquito), 5890 nucleotides long. RefSeq lists it as uncharacterized. The transcript has 2 exons. Lineage: Eukaryota; Metazoa; Arthropoda; Insecta; Diptera; Culicidae. The record is from RefSeq and is a predicted model, not a curated record.
CCCACCAUUAAUGGAAACUGAGCAAGAAAACAAAGGAUUUUUCGAUUUCUGAGUGAGACCAACUCAGAAACCGAGUAAUUUUUUUUGCAGGUGUAUACGUUACGUAUAGUACAUAUAUUAAUGUAACAUUUUUAAGCGUGUGCUUCGCUCAGGCAAGGGAGCAAUCGUGAAUCACGACACGCUUUAAGAGGUACUCACAAAGUGUAUUAAUCCAUGCACACAUUUCAGGCCGAACAUGUCUAAAGGUCCAAUCUGCAGAAGAGAGGCUCUCUUUGGUUCCCCUCUCUAUCGUUAAUAUCUCAGCUGUUUAUUUGUAUCAUCAUUGUCUCCUUGCAUUGAACGAUGGUCAAAACAAUCGUCUUUUGAUCUGUACUGCAAAAAUAGUUGAAAAGUGUACCAUCACUUUGCAAUAAUUGAAAGAGAAAGUGAACAAAGAGAGCCUCUCAAAUGCAGAUAGGACCUAUUGAAAUGUUCGGCCUGAUUUUGAAGAUGAAAAUGUUAAAAUGUUGACGUAGAGGGAGAAAAGUGAUUUAGAAUGGAAAAUUUUAAUGUGACGUAAUCUAUGAACGUCUCGAACAUAUUAAUAUAUUUAAUGGUUCGUGUGUUGCAUACAUCUUGGCGAUUAACUUACCUACCACUUAACGAAUAAAUGUACAUUUGUCAGGUUCUAAUUAUUACCUACCGAGGAAAAUUUCUACUCAGUCACUGGGAUGAUCUUACUCAGAAUCAGAAAUAGUUUUUGUUUUCCUACACUAAAUAACGGCUUGCGGUUGAAAUUACUAUGAGCCAUUUUACGAAGUGACAACAAUGUUGAUUCGCGAAUACGAAGUUGUCGAAUGUGCGUGAAGGUUUACGUGAGAAAAAACGAGAGGGAAAUAUUUUUUGCUUUUUUUCACACACAUUCUGACAGUUCCUUACGAGGUUUUUCAUUAGAGCGACAAAGAGUUGGAAUCUCUAUUACCUUCGUAGUCGCGAAUGUUGAUAUCGAUUUUCACGGGUUUGGACGCUAUCUCCUGCUAAAAUUUUAUUCAUAAUAACGGCUCGUAAAAUGGACUAUUCUGCAGGAUCAAUUUAAAUAUAUACAUCGCCACUAAAUUUGUGUAGACUGAGUUUCGCUUCAAUUCAACAGAUAAAUACUGUCAAUUUUAUAAUUGACCCAAUUUACAACUAACCCUUUACACUGAAAUUAAUUUUGUUGUGAAAACUAACUGCAAGAGUGAAAGACGGCUUGCGGUAAUGACCAGCAUAAAAAUGAUUUUAAAUUUACCAUGGCAAAAAAGGUGAUCAUCGUCCAACAAACGCUUGUUGUCUGCGUUUUGUUCCCUCUCAUAUCAACUCGUUCUAUAGCCGAGUGGUAGCAUGCGAGCCAGUUGAUCUCAAGCUUGUUGGUUUGAACCCAGUUGCCAACAGAUUUUUUGAUUAGCGGGGUAACAUUGAUUGGCUUGACCGACCUCAUGAAAUGUUCAUGGAUCAUUUCCAGUAUGCUUCAUUUUAAGUAAUCUACACAAUGAAUUUUCAUGAGGUAUUCUUAUGGCUUCCAUAAUAUUUAGUUAUAGCAAAAGUUCAUAAGGUGUUUUGAUGAAUUUCGUUACACGGUCAGAAAAUUCACUCAUUUUCGAGCAAAAGUGGGACAACUCAAAAUUGAGUAAAUUUUUUUUCCAGCGAUAGCGCUGGCCCAAGUGCGAAAAUAUCAUCAGUUUAAGCCGUAUAAUAUUCUUGAUGAUGCGAAGAAUAUUAUACGGCUUAAACCAGUUGGAUUUUUGCACUUGGGCCAGCGCAAUCGCUGGAAAUGCAAUUUACUCAUUUUUUGAGCUGUUCCAGUUUAGCUCAGUUUUGUGUGAAUCUUACUCAUUUUAGAGUAACAUUUUCUUAGCGUGUAGUUUAUUCGCUGGGUGUACUAAAUCGAUAUCCCUGAUUUCGAAUAUGCUGUCCAAAGGAUCCAAAGUCAUACAAAUUAUGUGUUUUUUUGUCACUGUAGUGUUAAAACCGUCUAAUAACGCCUUAAGGUAGGCAAACUUUUAGGGAAUUGAAAACCUUCUGAAUGAAAUCGUAUAUUUCAUCAACCCGGUUACAGUCGCGUCGUGUACUGAGUACACGCACCAUGAAAAAAGCACAUUUGUGGUACACAGCGUGAGCGUGGUGUCGCUGAGGGUGGCUGAAGACGCGACUGUUCGAGGGUUUAGAAGGAUCACUUUCGUAGUGUGCCGCGCUUGUUGAUGAGAGUGAAAAUUUUCGCUCCCGUCAUUUAUUUUUAGUUUCAUUUUUCAUCAAAUUUUCCUUUUUUCUCAAUAUUGAAUGUUUUUGAUUCCUGUAUAAAAAGGACCAAAAAUUUUGUUUUGGGACUGAAUCACUUUCCUCAGCGUCAUGCUCAAAGUACUAUUCUUAUAUAAGAUGAUGGCAACGAUUUUCGAGCUUUCGGAUAUGGAUGGGAUAGUUCAUUUUUUCAAAAUUGAUUCAUAAAGUUACACUCAUAGCACAAUUAUGGGUUAGGUACCUACUCAAGAAGCAAUCAUUUCAUAAUCGAUUUUCAUACAGAAAUAACACUUACAUUAUCGUUAUUUUACAUUCUUAUCAUUGAAACUCCUUUUUAUUGUUUUAUAUAAAAAUCUGCUUGUAAAACUCACUUUAAGUGAUGAAAAUUACUAAAAAGUUGAUGAAUAAUGAAAACUAAAUUAAUGGGCCAAAAUUGGCUGUGUAACAAUUUUGGGUCAACUUGUUGUCUAUUAUUUAUUUAGUUACUCAAGUUUUAUCAUCUAUUUUGUUAAUGAAUGAUCACUUAUUCUCGUUAGAUCAACUAUUCUUCAUUGCACCAACAAAGCUAGCCAUGAAAAUGUUUGACAAUUAUCAAGUCAUUUUGACAGACAACACACAUGCACGAAAAAGACGGAUCAUAUAUUCUACUUUAUCGACAUUGGUGCCGUCCUUUUCAUGUUCAUGUUGAAUCUGUCAAAAUGACCUGAGAAUUGUCAGUCAUUUUGAGGUUAGGUUCGUUGGUGUAAUAAAGAAUAGUAGAAUCUAAAGCUGGUCUCAAAUUUCUUAAGGACAGACUUGUUAGAAUCUCAAAAUGGCCGCCACAAUGGCUGAUUUUGGCACUUACUCACGAUUUCGAGAGCACAAAUCUCUUUGUAAACAAAACCAGCGCACCUGACAUUUUUAUUUUAAGCAUAUUACAAGUGAGCAAGAACAAAAUAAUAAAAUGCACUGUUGUUUAAAGCAUGCUUCUUGAGACUUGUGCGUCUGAAGUUCUGAUGCACAGUUGUAGCGGGAUUUCGAGACGUUUGUCCUUAACGAAGCGUGUUUUCAUGAUUUGAAAUCAAUUUUUCAAAAUUGGGACCAAAUCUCCAUCCACCCACACCACCGAUAAACGCCUAAAAGCAUGCAAUGUCUAUGUACGCAGAACUCUCAAUUACAUAUAUGCUGCACAAAAAGUCACCCAUAAUUGCGUGAUUUUCACGCAACAAUAAUGAGUCACUUAAAUUUUGUCUGAAAUUAGCUUUAAUUAGCGGCAAUCACCUUAGUUUCCACAUUAGGAACGCAAAUUAUACCUUUGUUCUGGUGGUGAUACCAUUUCGUACUUGAAAAUCACUAAAGAUCACUUUUACAGAUCUUACAAAAGCAGCGCACGCACUUUCCUAUAUUCACAAUCGAAGCGUUACUUUGACAGAUGGUUCUGCACCGAACAAAAGUUUUUGAAAAUAUGUAUGUUAUUAUUGGAAAUACUGUUACAUGGGAAAAUAUUAAGAAAAUUUGCUGAAAAACUAUGAAAGAUAACCCAUUUUACUGUAUAUUUUUGGUUUACCCUUGAAGAAUCUAAUUGCUAUAACUAUUACAAGUUCAAGCUUCUAUGUUGCAGGAGCUAGAGAACGUAUUCUACGAGAAAGGCACUAUCACCGCUAGGUGGAUUAAUCUGGGUUUUUAUUCAAAAAAUCCCACACAAUCUUCAAAUACCCCAGCACGGUUUCCAUCCCAGUGUGCACUAAACCAUUCAAUGCAUACCAUUCUGCACGUACAUACAGACAUUCCACACCUGUAUGGUGGCAAAGAAACACUUAAGUGAAGAACUUUUUCUUUUGUAUUUAUAUACGGGUUCUUCAUUCUCACUUCAGUCUCAUCCGGAUGCGGAUGAUGGUGAGUAGUAGGUAGGAUGAAGGAAGAAACCGUUGCACUAUGAAUGCGAAUUCAUCUCAAGCAUUUGGUCUACCUACACACCAAGAAAGCGAAACUUUUCCAUUCAAUUGCAGUUCUUAAGAGAUGCUCGCUCUACUUUGACUCAUCCUAGUGUAUAUGAAUGUGUAAGGUAGUUAAGGCAUGCAUGUACAUUAGACCGGGUCAACAUGGUCAUUUUUUCGGAACAAAGUUUUUUCGACGCCUUUUAUGGUCCCAAACUACUGUGCAAAAUUUGGGCGCGAUUGGUUGCGUCCCCGCAUUCCGCAUUGCGUUUGAAAUUUGUAUGGAGUUUUAUAUGGGAAAACACACUUUUUUGCAUAUUCCUCGUUAGAUUCUCGUAUUUGUCUAGAACUAUAUAACUCACGAUGUUAAAGUAUAGCCCAGGAGAUACUGAUAAACUUUGCCGAAGAGAGUAAGAUGCUAGAAUGGCUUUGAAAAAAGUUAUUAAUGUUCAAAGUUUGAUAUCUCCGCACAACUACUGAAAACCAUUUAUUCUGCCAACACUGUUGGUGCUUAAAAGGAUCAACUCAUCCUUGCUUUAUAGUCUGUCAUUUCGUGGAACCCCAACUCCCGUUUCAUCAACAAACAACAACUAAGAUAAUGGAUCUGCUUUUGGGGAAUGGUUUGAAAACUAUUAUAGAUGUGUACCAUAGAAACCAACUCAUCUGAACCAGGCAUGCUGCUGCGUAUUCAAUGGACAUGGAUAGUUCCCGGAAUUAUUCCAGAUAUGAAGAAGAAUAUUUCUAAAGGCCGGCUUGUGGCGCAUUUUAUUUCUUGGUGUUGCAAACCAAGAGCAAUAAUAAACGUUUUGAAAAUGUUGACCACAGCGGCAACUAAAAAAAAUGUUUUCUUGUUAUCCCCAAAGUUGGUAGUACAUAAAAAUUUACAAGUAAGAGGUUGUCCAUAAACGACUUGUUUUAGCCAUAUCUCAACCCUCCUUCUCCCUCGGAAACUUUUAUUCAAACAACAUUUUGACAUUUUUGGACCGUAGACUUUAGCCGACAACAUAUCCCACCAUAACUUUCUACGUACUUUAUUCAAAUUUUGAAGAGAUUCUGAAAUGAUCUAUUCUAGCAUUUCUGGCAGCAUAUUGCUAUUGAACAAAGACUUUAGAGUGGAGGGUAAUAACCAAACUGGGUCUAUUUUAUUUGAAGGAAUAAAAACUAGGUCAUGGCAGGCUCCUCAAUUAUUUGGGUUCAAGUGAUCGGUUCAAACACAUUCCUAACCGUUAUAACGCUGUUUGUAUUAUUGGUCAGUUCCACUUUUGCAUGAACUGUAACACCAUAUAUGACACCCAUUCACCUCUCCAACUAUAAUGUCCGUAUGGUAGAUCUGCGAUUACAAAUUUAGAAAGAAAGUGGUUCCAAAAAAGACAGAAUAUACGUGUUUAUUUAUUGUCCGUGUAUUUUUUUUAUUAGUUUCAAUCACUUGCGUAUCUGUUGGUUUACUCACAUUAAAUCCUACUAAAAUAAUAAUUGAAUUACAAAUUAUUGAUUCUGAAAUACGUAUUCGCAAACUGCUUUCUUCCUUGCGUGAAUCCAGAGCAUCCUCUAAGUCGUCAAAAAGUCCCAACAUAUCUUGCAUUAUACUUGCUCAGAAACGUCCCUGGUCUGGUGGUUUUCUAAAAUAGAGGCCAUCGGUUUCAGAAAAAAUGUUACUACGGCGCUGCACUUAAACUGCUCCAGAAAAAAAUCUCCAAAGGCAGAUUCUAAAAUGAUAUGAA